UUCUUUGAAUCUUUUUUGAUUUUUUUGAUUUUUUUUUUCAAAUUUGAAAGAGUUGAAGGAAGAGAUUUCAAAUUUGGAGGAGAUGAAGAAGAGAUAUGGAAGAGAUGGAGGAUAUAGUAGAAAUGAAGAAAAGAGGAAAUUAAAAAAUUUGGAAAAGAGAGAAUGAAGUUUGAAAAUUUGGAGAUGAGGGAAAGAAGGAACUGAAAUUUCAAAAUUUCGGACAACCUAACAGCGGAUUUUUGAAAUCCGCAGUUAAUCUAACGACAGUUUAGAAUCCGAUGUUAAAUAUUCUUUCUAACA
RNAcentral lists this long non-coding RNA (300 nucleotides) under Linum usitatissimum (flax). RNAcentral describes it as "long non-coding RNA (LUSI_LNC001158)". Lineage: Eukaryota; Viridiplantae; Streptophyta; Magnoliopsida; Malpighiales; Linaceae. The record is from RNAcentral.